UACGAAGGGGGCUAGCGCUGUUCGGAAUUACUGGGCGUAAAGCGUGCGCAGGCGGCUUCUCAAGUCAGGGGUGAAAGCCCAGAGCUUAACUCUGGAAUUGCCUUUGAGACUGAGAGGCUUGAGUACGGGAGAGGUGAGUGGAAUUCCCAGUGUAGAGGUGAAAUUCGUAGAUAUUGGGAAGAACACCGGUGGCGAAGGCGGCUCACUGGCCCGUAACUGACGCUCAUGCACGACAGCGUGGGGAUCAAACAGG
This 253-nucleotide ribosomal RNA is filed under the name uncultured bacterium. Its description in RNAcentral is "partial 16S ribosomal RNA". It matches the Rfam family "Bacterial small subunit ribosomal RNA", at positions 524 to 776 of the family's 1533-position model. The record is from RNAcentral.